UCCAGUGACGGCGUGCCUUUUGCAUAAUGAGCCUACGAGUUACUCUUCUCUGGCAAGGUUAAGUGCUUCAGGCACGGAUCCGAAGCGAAAGCGAGUCUGAACAGGGCGUAUAGUCAGAGGAGGUAGACGCGAAACCUUGUGAUCUACCCAUGGACAGGUUGAAGGUGCGGUAACACGUACUGGAGGACCGAACCGAUAAACGUUGAAAAGUUUCCGGAUGAUCUGUGGGUAGGGGUGAAAGGCUAAUCAAACUGGGAAAUAGCUCGUACUCCCCGAAAUGUUUUUAGGAACAGCGUCGGCAUCGAGUUACAUAGAGGUAGAGCUACUGAUUGGGUGCGGGGGAGUCAAAUCCUACCAAAUCCAGACAAACUCCGAAUGCUAUGUAAUAUGGCCGGCAGUGAGGCGCGGGGUGCUAAGGUCACGCGCCGAGAGGGAAAGAACCCAGACCAUCAGCUAAGGUCCCCAAGUUACGGUUAAGUUGAACUAACGAGGUCCGAUUGCACAGACAGCUAGGAUGUUGGCUUGGAAGCAGCCAUUCAUUUAAAGAGUGCGUAACAGCUCACUAGUCGAGCGAUCGGGCAUGGAUAAUAAACGGGCAUUAAACCGUACACCGAAGCUAUGGGAUUGAAAUAUAUCGGUAGGGGAGCAUUCUAUGUGCAGUGAAGGUAUCUGGUAAUGGGUGCUGGAGCGCAUAGAAAAGCAAAUGUAGGCAUAAGUAACGAUAAGGCGGGCGAGAAACCCGCCCACCGAAAGGAUAAGGUUUCCUGAUCAACGCUAAUCGGAUCAGGGUCAGUCGGGACCUAAGGAGAACCCGAAGGGGAAAUUCGAUGGACAACUGGUUAAUAUUCCAGUACUUUUUAUAACUGCGAUGUGGGGACGGAGUAGUGACACUGCCGCGAUCUGACGGAAUAGAUCGUUGAAGGCUGUAGGUAUAUCGAACAUAGGCAAAUCCGUGAUCGAUGCUGAGCGCUGAUAGUACCAAGGACCUUCGGGCGAUUGGAUAGUGCAGGUAAUCAGACUUCCAAGAAAAACCGCUAAGCUCCAGGUUAUAAAAACCCGUACCGCAAACCGACACAGGUAUCCGGGAAGAGGAUUCUAAGGUGCUCGAGUGAAUCAUGGCUAAGGAACUCGGCAAAAUGGCCCUGUAACUUCGGGAGAAGGGGCGCUGACAGCAAUGUCAGCCGCAGUGAAAAGGCCCAGGCGACUGUUUAACAAAAACACAUGGCUUUGCAAAAUCGAAAGAUGAGGUAUAAGGCCUGACACCUGCCCGGUGCUGGAAGGUUAAGAGGGGAUGUCAUCGCAAGAGAAGCAUUGAAUCGAAGCCCCAGUAAACGGCGGCCGUAACUAUAACGGUCCUAAGGUAGCGAAAUUCCUUGUCGGGUAAGUUCCGACCUGCACGAAUGGUGUAACGAUCUGGGCGCUGUCUCAGCCAUGAGCUCGGUGAAAUUGUGGUCCCGGUGAAGACGCCGGGUACCCGCAACGGGACGGAAAGACCCCAUGCACCUUCACUACAAUUUAACAUUGACAUUGGGUACAGGAUGUGUAGGAUAGGUGGGAGGCUAUGAAUCGGUGUCGCCAGGCAUCGUGGAGCCAACGUUGAAAUACCACCCUUUCUGUAUUCGGUGUCUAAUCCCGCUAAGCGGGAGACAUUGUUUGAUGGGUAGUUUGACUGGGGUGGUCGCCUCCAAAAAGGUAACGGAGGCUUUCAAAGGUAAGCUCAGUACGCUUGGUAACCGUACGUGGAGUGCAAUAGCAUAAGCUUGCUUGACUGUGAGACAUACAGGUCGAUCAGGGUCGAAAGACGGAUAUAGUGAUCCGGUGGUUCUGCAUGGAAGGGCCAUCGCUCAAAGGAUAAAAGGUACGCUGGGGAUAACAGGCUGAUCUCCCCCAAGAGCUCAUAUCGACGGGGAGGUUUGGCACCUCGAUGUCGGCUCGUCACAUCCUGGGGCUGGAGAAGGUCCCAAGGGUUCGGCUGUUCGCCGAUUAAAGUGGCACGCGAGCUGGGUUCAGAACGUCGCGAGACAGUUCGGUCCCUAUCUGUUGUGGGCGUAGGAAUUUUGAGUGGGGCUGACCUUAGUACGAGAGGACCGGGUUGGACCAGCCUCUAGUGAAUCUGUUGUUCCGCCAGGGGCAUUGCAGAGUAGCUACGCUGGGAAUAGAUAAGCGCUGAAAGCAUCUAAGUGCGAAACUAGCCACGAGAUGAGAAUUCCAUAUAGGACCGUAGCAGACUACUACGUUGAUAGGCUACAGAUGUAAAGGUGGCGACACCACAGUCGAGUAGUACUAAUCAUCCGAAGCUUUCAA
RNAcentral lists this ribosomal RNA (2304 nucleotides) under Pedobacter suwonensis. Its description in RNAcentral is "bacterial LSU rRNA". It matches the Rfam family "Bacterial large subunit ribosomal RNA", at positions 589 to 2925 of the family's 2925-position model. The record is from RNAcentral. Lineage: Bacteria; Pseudomonadati; Bacteroidota; Sphingobacteriia; Sphingobacteriales; Sphingobacteriaceae.